GACGAACGCUGGCGGCGUGCCUAAUACAUGCAAGUCGAACGCUUCUUUUUCACCGAGUGCUUGCACUCACCGAAAAAGAGGAGUGGCGGACGGGUGAGUAACACGUGGGUAACCUGCCCAUCAGAAGGGGAUAACACUUGGAAACAGGUGCUAAUACCGUAUAACAAUAGGAACCGCAUGGUUCCAAUUUGAAAGACGCUUUCGGGUGUCGCUGAUGGAUGGACCCGCGGUGCAUUAGCUAGUUGGUGAGGUAACGGCUCACCAAGGCCACGAUGCAUAGCCGACCUGAGAGGGUGAUCGGCCACACUGGGACUGAGACACGGCCCAGACUCCUACGGGAGGCAGCAGUAGGGAAUCUUCGGCAAUGGACGAAAGUCUGACCGAGCAACGCCGCGUGAGUGAAGAAGGUUUUCGGAUCGUAAAACUCUGUUGUUAGAGAAGAACAAGCGAGAGAGUAACUGCUCUUGCCCUGACGGUAUCUAACCAGAAAGCCACGGCUAACUACGUGCCAGCCGCCGCCGUAAUAC
Molecule: ribosomal RNA, 527 nt
Filed under: uncultured bacterium
Lineage: Bacteria
Description: bacterial SSU rRNA
Rfam family: Bacterial small subunit ribosomal RNA
Source: RNAcentral